RNA transcript from Podarcis raffonei (Aeolian wall lizard), 2224 nucleotides. It is a transcript of the gene named zinc finger MYND-type containing 15, with no coding region annotated. The transcript is spliced from 13 exons. Lineage: Eukaryota; Metazoa; Chordata; Lepidosauria; Squamata; Lacertidae. The record is from RefSeq and is a predicted model, not a curated record.
ACGGUGGCAAUGGGACCCAGGCGUCCGAGGGGGCAUCAGAGGAGGCGGCUACCGGCUGCCCCUCCGUAUGUUGGCCUGGCCAGGAUUCCAGAUUCCUCUGAUGUCGCAGCGGAACAGAGGGACCCCCAUCCAACGACUGACCUCCAAAGCGGUCAGGCAUGGAGUUUGUCACUGGCUACCGGGCCGAGAUCCUGGACUUUGCUGAGCUGCUCUUCAGCUGGUACCGGCGCUUCUUGUUGGACUCAGCCUGCCGGCGAGGCAGCGAGCGCCGCAAGCGCCAGGAGGGCUCCAUCCGGCGCCUGCCCCCGGAUCCGGCCCUCUGGGUGCUGCACGCCUUGCCCAACCGGGCACUGGCCUUCACCGUGGCUGACCCGGGGCAGCAGGUGGGCGGUCGCUUCUACAGCGAGGAGGCCCUGGCCCUGGGGGACCUGGAGCGCUUCAUCACCUUCGUGGGCGCCGGCGAGGAGGACGAGGAGGAGGCCACACCUGAGACAGGCCAGCCGCUCUGGCGCGUGGACCACCUCCUGCUGGUGACGGACGAGCACGGCAGCAUCCUGGGCUUUGACUUCCAGCUGGGGGGGUCCUGUGCAGGGGCCACGGGGGCCGAGCAGCCCCUAGAGCCCCGUGCCGUCGCCCUCCUGUGCCACAGCAUGAUCUGCCCUCUGGGCGCAGGGGAGCCGCGCAGGCCCAAGCUGCUCACCGUGGGAGACGCGGCCUUGCACAAGUCCCUGGAGCCGCUGCUCUCGAGGCUGGGGGUGAAGAUGAGCAAGGGCCCGAUGCGCGGCUGGGGCCCCAAGCCGGCCUUCACGUUCCCCACCACCCGUGUGAGGGCCUGCCACGUCUGCAAGAGGUACAGCUUCGAGGGACAAGUCACGGCGUGCCAGCACUGCAGGGCCGUCCUGUAUUGCUCUGAGCGCUGCCGCAAGCUGGACUGGAACCGCAGCCCUGAGGACAUCGGGCACCAGUUCUGGUGCCAGCGCAUGGCUGGGUACAUGAGUCGCACCCGAGAGCUGGCCAACCUUCCCUUCACCUUCACAGCAGAGGUGACCAGCGAGAACUUCAACAAAGAGGGCUUCCUCUCUGCCAGGGGUCUGACCCGCGGCUACUGGGCCGGAGAGAGCAUGCUGGUCAGGGCGCCCGACUACGGCGUGGGGCUCCAGGGGGGUUCUGAGAAGCCCGUGCCCUUCCUGCAGAGCGGGAACCCCUUUGAGGCGCUACGGCCGGAAGGAGGGACAGCUCUUCCGCCAGCCCCCCCUGAGCCUCCCAUGCCCCGGACAUUCUUUGGGUCCUGGAAGGAGUAUUACCAGUGGCGGGGGCUGCCCCUCGGAGCCCCUCUGGCCGUCCUCCUGAGCUACCCCCUCACUGCCUACUACAUCAUCACCCAGCUGGCCCCUCAGCACUUUCCCGAGUUGAACAUCCUGAACAAGCAGUCUCUCAAGAUCCACGUGGUAGAGGCAGGCAAAGAAUUUGGGGUCCUGAUGGUCUUCUGGGAGUUGUCGGUGCUGCUGCCCCAUGUCUCUCUGGAGCUUCUGUUUGUGGGGGACGCCCUGCCCCCCCAAUUGGACGGCCAGCAGUUUCUCCUUCAGAGGGAUGAGGAGCAAGGCGUCUCUGUCCGGCCUGGCCUGGCCCCCAGAUGCAAAGGGGGGCGGCGUGAACUGCAGUUUGGGUUCAGUGCCCGCCCCUACCACCUCCUGCAGGCGCCCAAACCGGACCUGGUCAUUGGGUUCAACUCUGGAUUUGCCCUCAAGGAGACUUGGCGGAGUUCUCUGCCACGACUUCAGGUAAGCCGAGCCCACUCAUCACGCAGUACUUAGAAACGGGGUCUCCCCCUCAAAACUCCUCCCUCCAUCCUAUGGAAUGACAUCGCUGUGACAUCAUCUCUUGACAUCACGGCUGCUGGAUACAGUACUUUGGCCCAGCGUACAGCGUUGUGACGUUAGACAUGCCUUUGCUCUGCUUCUGAAGUGAUGGCGUCUCCCGAGCCCAAUUCUCCAGUUGUGAUGUCAUCAGGCCUUUGCUAUGAUGCUGUGACCAACUGACACCAAGUAACCACCUCAGAGCUGGUGAAGUAACUGCCCUGGGGUUGGUGGCAAUUCACGGCAUUUGUCUUCCAGGCUGAAUUUUGAUUCUAGAAAUUCCCUUCGGGUGCCGGCCUACUUCACUGAAUGCAGCGAGUACAGCUGUGCUGUGGAUGAGGCCGCUGUCUCCAUGGCGACAGGGGGCA